This 526-nucleotide ribosomal RNA is filed under the name uncultured Clostridium sp. RNAcentral describes it as "bacterial SSU rRNA". It matches the Rfam family "Bacterial small subunit ribosomal RNA", at positions 8 to 551 of the family's 1533-position model. Lineage: Bacteria; Bacillati; Bacillota; Clostridia; Eubacteriales; Clostridiaceae. The record is from RNAcentral.
AGAGUUUGAUCCUGGCUCAGGACGAACGCUGGCGGCGUGCUUAACACAUGCAAGUCGAGCGAUGAAGCUCCUUCGGGAGUGGAUUAGCGGCGGACGGGUGAGUAACACGUGGGUAACCUGCCUCAUAGAGGGGAAUAGCCUUUCGAAAGGAAGAUUAAUACCGCAUAAGAUUGUAGUACCGCAUGGUAUAGCAAUUAAAGGAGUAAUCCGCUAUGAGAUGGACCCGCGUCGCAUUAGCUAGUUGGUGAGGUAACUGCUCACCAAGGCGACGAUGCGUAGCCGACCUGAGAGGGUGAUCGGCCACAUUGGGACUGAGACACGGCCCAGACUCCUACGGGAGGCAGCAGUGGGGAAUAUUGCACAAUGGGGGAAACCCUGAUGCAGCAACGCCGCGUGAGUGAUGACGGUCUUCGGAUUGUAAAGCUCUGUCUUUAGGGACGAUAAUGACGGUACCUAAGGAGGAAGCCACGGCUAACUACGUGCCAGCAGCCGCGGUAAUACGUAGGUGGCAAGCGUUGUCCGGAUU